This 3024-nucleotide ribosomal RNA is filed under the name Purpureocillium takamizusanense. RNAcentral's name for it is "large subunit ribosomal RNA". It matches the Rfam family "Bacterial large subunit ribosomal RNA". The record is from RNAcentral. Lineage: Eukaryota; Fungi; Ascomycota; Sordariomycetes; Hypocreales; Ophiocordycipitaceae.
CAUAAGUAUAUAAAGAAACUAUUAUGGAAUUUAAGCUAUGUAUUAAAGAGAAUUAUUUAUAGAAUAGAGACUUGAUAUCCUAUUGUAUAUAAACUCUAAGAGAAAUCUAAUACUAAACGGAGUGAAUUGAAAUAUCUUAGUAACUUCAGGAAAAGAAAUCAAAAGAGAUUCUAUGUAUAGCGUGAGCGAAAAUAGAGCAGCCUAAAAAGUAAAACGGUACUAAAACUGUUUAAACGUGAUGGGGAACCUUCCUCAAAGGCUAAAUAUAAUACAUAAGCGAUAGUGAAAAGUACCAUGAGGGAACAAAACAAAAAUAGUAGUUUUAUAAGCAGUUCGAUAAAAGAACGUACCUUUUGCAUAAUGGGUCACCAAGUUAACAUUAGAUGCGAGUUCACGCGUAGUUAAACCGAACGUUAAAAUAACGAAAUAGUGUCUAAAGUUAGACCCGAAGCACGGUGAUUUUACCAUGGUCAGGAUUAUAAAAGUCCGAACGGGUGAUUGUAGCAAAAAUCUCCGAAGAACUGUGGUAGGUGUAGUGAAAGACAACACUGACUGUGAUAGCUGGUUUUCUGCGAAACCUAUAAUAGUAGGCAAUUUAAGUUAAUAUCUUAGCAGGUACAGAAUUUAAUCUCAGACAAGAUGCAUAUGCAUUUUAUAUUGUACAAAUUGGGGAAUCGUAAAGAUUUUAUCAGUGAGUAUGUAGACUCGGAAUGGCAAAGAUAUGUCUUAAAUUAUCAGACAUAGAAUGAUAAGGUUGUAUGUCGAAAGGGAAACAGCCCAGAACAAGAGUUAAGGUUCCUAAAUUAUUAGUUGAGUGAAAUUAAGAAAGUUUUUGUUAAAGUCGACAAGGAGAUGGGCUUAGAAGCAGCCAUGAUUUUAUGACCUCGUAACAGAGCGCUUGUUAAGUUAUAAAAGCAUCGAAAAUUUAACGGAUCUAAACAAUAUACCGAAACCUUGUCCAUAAUAUAUUGUAUUAAUAAGUUUUAAUAUAAUUAAAUGGGGUAGCAGAACGUUGAGCUAUAUUACGAUUUUUAUUUUUUAAAUAGAAUAAUAAUAAUUUAACUCAAGUGAGAAUGGUGACAUGAGUAACUAAAAGAAAAUUUUCCGCCUUAAGCUUAUGGAUAUAAUUAAGUAACGGCCUCUAAGUUUAUAUUAUCUAAAGAUUUAAACGAUGAGAAAAUCUUUUUUACUAAGGACAACAUUUUAGUGUAAAAUGUGCUGGAAAAAUAGUAAAUAUAUUUAUAAGCGUAAACUUAUAAACGAAAAAUAACCGUACCUAGAAUCUGAAACAAGUAAGCUAGUAGAGAAUACGAAGGCGUAAAUGAGCUAACAAUCAUAAAGGAACUCGGCAAAUUGACUACCGUAACUUCGGAAUAAGGAGGGCUCAUUAUUCCUGAUCAAUAUCAGGUAAAAAGGAAGAAGCAUAAAAUAAUGUUGUACGACUGUUUAAUUAAAACACAGCACUUUGCUGAAAGAUUAAAAAUCUAAGUAUAAAGUGUGAUAUCUGCCCAGUGCCGGCUGGUUAACAGAGAUAAUUGAAUAUACUACUAUUUGAUGUCGACGGAAACCCCGGUUAAAGGCGGCCUUAACGUGAGGGUCCUAAGGUAGCGAAAUGCCUUGGCCGUUAAAUGCGGUCUUGCAUGAAUGGUGUAACGAUACAACAGCUGUCUCUAUGAUUGACUCAGUGAAAUUGGAAUAGCUGUGCAGAUACAGCUUACCUCUAGUUAGACGAGAAGACCCUAUGCAGCUUUACUGUCACUAAUUAUAGAGUAUGAUAGACAAUUUUCAGAUUAUAAGGUAAUUGACAAUAUGGCAAUGAGAAUCCUUUAUUUUUCUUUCAUAUGAAUGAAUUGGUUUAGGAUCAUGAGUAAAUUAUAAUUAAUGCAGCUUUACUGAGCUAUUUUUAUACAUUAAUUAUAAUAAUUAUAAAGCUCAUUUUAGUAAAUCAGCCUAAUUCUAUUUAUUAUUUUAUAAUAAGUACCCUUUGGCAAGGAACUAUCGCUAGGGGACAGUUUAUGUGGGGCACAGACCCUGUAAAGAGUAAACAGGAGUGUCUAAAAUUUUAUAAUUAUUUGUUUGCUAUUUUAAAUAGUUUAACUAUUUUUAAUCAUAUACAAUUAUUUAUAUUUGCACUAUUGUAAAUAUAUUUAAGUUUAGGUAGGAUUUUUACUAUAUAGAAAUUAGAGAUAAUUGAAAAUAUUAUGAAGUUUUCUAAUAUUUUCUAGCUAUUAUAACAUUAGUUUUAAUAGUUAUGUAUUUAAUAUCUAAAAAGCUCAACGGCUAAAUCCUGCCUUACUGUUUGAUUAUCUACAAAUCUUACAGUUGCGUAAGCAGGGCAUAGGAUCACAAGAUGCAAUAAGGAAAGAUCUUGGAUUAUUGGAAAAGCUACGCUAGGGAUGUUUGUCCUUUAAUAUUUUAUUUGUAAAAUAAAAGAAUUAAUAUAUAUUGGGUAAACUUCAAGAAUUACUAAUAAUAGUAAACAGGCUAAUUUGCGCAAGAGUGUACAAAAUGAGUGCGCGGUUUGGCACCUCGAUGUCGGCUUAACUUAUCCUCAUGGACGCAGGAACUAUGUAGGGUGCGACUGUUCGUCGAUUAAAAAGUUACAUGAGCUGGGUUAAAUACGUCGUGAGACAGUAUGGUUUCUAUCUUCUAGGGGAAAUUAGAAUAAAAUAAGAACGAAUUUUUGUACGCAAGGAACAAGAAGAAUUUGACUUAAAAGUUAAAUUAUGGUUACUAACCUAUGGUUUACCUGUUGUUUAUGUGCCCAAUAUAAAAUAUAUAUAUUUUAUAUGUAUUUUAUGGGAUGUUUCUUUCACUAAGAUAAAUGUAUAGCAUAAGCACGGCAGGAAGGCUAAGUUGAUUAAGGAUAAGUGCUGAAAGCAUAUAGGCACGAAGCUUAUCUUAAGAUAUUUCUUAAAUAUACGUAAUAUAAUAUUACGAAAUUAUAGGCUUUAUCCGUACGAAUCUAGAGAUUUUCAAGAAUAAAGUACUAAUUUAAUAAUUUACUAUGUAAAAAUAUAUCAA